UGUAAUGAUUCUUGUGCGUUUAUAUGUGUAUAUGCUCAAUCAUGUUACUGGUUUUUUGAGGAUAAUUUGCUUUUAUCAAAGUUCAGAUAAGUGCAGAUAGCUUAUAGAGUAAAUAUUUGUGUGUAAGAACGUAUGAAUGGGAAUUGUAGUUUUGGUACCGUCCAUCUAGCCAGUCAAGAAAGAUGUCUAUAGGAAUUGUGGUUGAUUCAUCUGCUAAGAUGAAGAACACAAAUAGCAAGGGAGUUUUUAAUGUUAUGUAUAUUAUAUACUCCGUAUUAUCUUAUUAGCUUUAGCUACAGUGGGUUAACAUUAACAUACCUUAUCUAAUGAGUCUUUAUAUAAAAAUUUACGGUUAUUACAAUAUCACCCACUUAAAAUGAUUUCAUCCUCGAAAUCUACUAAAUUGUAAGAUGUAAAUUAAGUACAGUUAUCGUUACUACUAUGGUAUGCAAAUUGUUGUUAUUAUUAUUAUUAUUUGUAUCUCUCAUGACUAAUACGUUGGUGUCGUAAGCAUAAAAAGAAAUGAGUGGAACGGAUAGAAAUCUCCAAGGUGAGUGGAGUUGAGUAACAAAAUUGCAGUUGUCUAAGCGACAGAUUCGAACCUUCAAAAUGGUAAGGUGGAGCUAAAUGGAAGUCUAUGUCUGUAUCUGUAAGAUCUCUUCAUGAAAUCGAGUUAAUUCAGUUCCAUGCUUUAUUGAAGGCACUUGUUUGAAAUUGUUGUUGUGUGUUUGUUUGUGAGUAGGAGAAAGCUCCUUAUGUUGCUAAGGCUGCCACUAAGAAACAAGAAUUGUUGAUUUUGUCAUUGCUCUGUUCCGAGUAGACUUCACUGGAAGAGGAGAACUUGCAGAGCGCCAGUGAUAGCUGAUCCCGGUGGUGGGGUAUUCAUAUCAGAUUAAAAAAAAAACAGCAGGAGGGCAUGUUCUUGCUCAUGCAGCAACUGUGAGAUUGAUGUUUAGGAAGGGCAAGGGGGAAUAGUGUGUCUGCAAAGUGUUUGAUGCACCGAAUCUGCCCGAGUCAUAAAAGUAUACAUAUACAGUAAUAAAAUUAUAUUCAUUACUUUAAAAUAAGCAGAUUAGUAUCUGGUUAUUUCUUCAAAGCAUGUAAGAACUCUAAUACAAGGUGAUAUUGGCAUUGCUUUUUUCAUCUCAUUCGAAUGAUUUUUUUCGUCACUCAUGUUUUGUAAUUUAGUAGUUUACUGUUGGUUGCAGCCAAUUCAAAUGCCGUGAAGCUCAGUUGUGAACUUCUGCGAUUAUUUGUCACAGAAGCUGUCCAACGUGCUGCUACUAUUGCUGAAGGGGGAGACAAGAUCG
Erigeron canadensis is the source of this 1310-nucleotide long non-coding RNA. RefSeq lists it as uncharacterized. The record is from RefSeq and is a predicted model, not a curated record. The transcript has 4 exons. NCBI's taxonomy places the organism in Eukaryota, Viridiplantae, Streptophyta, Magnoliopsida, Asterales, Asteraceae.